Molecule: ribosomal RNA, 253 nt
Filed under: uncultured bacterium
Lineage: Bacteria
Description: partial 16S ribosomal RNA
Rfam family: Bacterial small subunit ribosomal RNA
Source: RNAcentral
UACGUAGGGGGCAAGCGUUGUCCGGAAUCAUUGGGCGUAAAGCGCGUGUAGGCGGCUCGGUAAGUCCGCUCUGAAAGUCCAGGGCUCAACCCUGGGAUGCGGGUGGAUACUGCCGAGCUCGAGUCCGGAAGAGGCGAGUGGAAUUCCCGGUGUAGCGGUGAAAUGCGCAGAUAUCGGGAGGAACACCUAUGGCGAAGGCAGCUCGCUGGGACGUGACUGACGCUGAGACGCGAAAGCGUGGGGAGCAAACAGG